UACGUAGGGUGCGAGCGUUAAUCGGAAUUACUGGGCGUAAAGCGUGCGCAGGCGGGGAUGUAAGACCGAUGUGAAAUCCCCGGGCUUAACCUGGGAACUGCAUUGGUGACUGCAUCGCUCGAGUAUGGCAGAGGGGGGUAGAAUUCCACGUGUAGCAGUGAAAUGCGUAGAGAUGUGGAGGAAUACCGAUGGCGAAGGCAGCCCCCUGGGUCAAUACUGACGCUCAUGCACGAAAGCGUGGGGAGCAAACAGG
RNAcentral lists this ribosomal RNA (253 nucleotides) under uncultured bacterium. RNAcentral describes it as "partial 16S ribosomal RNA". It matches the Rfam family "Bacterial small subunit ribosomal RNA", at positions 524 to 776 of the family's 1533-position model. The record is from RNAcentral.